Molecule: non-coding RNA, 102 nt
Filed under: Natranaerobius trueperi
Lineage: Bacteria; Bacillati; Bacillota; Clostridia; Natranaerobiales; Natranaerobiaceae
Description: TPP sequence
Rfam family: TPP riboswitch aptamer (THI element)
About the family: Vitamin B(1) in its active form thiamin pyrophosphate (TPP) is an essential coenzyme that is synthesised by coupling of pyrimidine and thiazole moieties in bacteria. The previously detected thiamin-regulatory element, thi box was extended, resulting in a new, highly conserved RNA secondary structure, the THI element, which is widely distributed in eubacteria and also occurs in some archaea.
Source: Rfam by way of RNAcentral
UAAUACCGUCGGGGGAGCCCUAAAGGGCUGAGAGGGUUAAAACACCGACCCCAGAACCUGAACUGGUUAGUGCCAGCGAAGGGAGAACGGUUGCCGUAGGCU